RNAcentral lists this ribosomal RNA (298 nucleotides) under uncultured bacterium. RNAcentral describes it as "partial 16S ribosomal RNA". It matches the Rfam family "Bacterial small subunit ribosomal RNA", at positions 28 to 334 of the family's 1533-position model. The record is from RNAcentral.
GAUGAACGCUAGCUACAGGCUUAACACAUGCAAGUCGAGGGGUCUACUUCGGUAGACGACCGGCGCACGGGUGAGUAACGCGUAUCCAACCUGCCCUUCUCAUUGGGAUAGCCUUUCGAAAGAGAGAUUAAUACCGAAUAACAUAGUCAAGUUGCCUGAUUCGACUAUGAAAGCUGCGGCGGAGAAGGAUGGGGAUGCGUUCCAUUAGGUAGUAGGCGGGGUAAUAGCCCACCUAGCCGACGAUGGAUAGGGGUUCUGAGAGGAAGGUCCCCCACAUUGGAACUGAGACACGGUCCAA